AUUGAACGCUGGCGGCAGGCCUAACACAUGCAAGUCGAGCGAGCGGCGGACGGGUGAGUAAUGUAUGGGGACUGCCUGAUAGUGGGGGAUAACUACUGGAAACGGUGGCUAAUAUAGCAUACUAUCGGAUAAUCCUCAGGGGAUUAGCUAGUAGGGGGGGUAAAGGCUCACCUAGGCGACGAUCCCUAGCUGGUCUGAGAGGAUGAUCAUCCACACUGGUACUGAGACCCGUCCCGGACUCCUACGGAGACAGCAGUGGGGACUAUUGCACAAUGGGCGCAAGCCUGAUGCAGCCAUCCCGCGUGUAUGAAGAUGGCCUUAGGGUUUUAAAGUACGUUCAGCGCGGAGGCGUUACCCGCAGAAGAAGCACCGGAUAACUCCGUGCCAGGAGCCGCGGUAAUUC
Molecule: ribosomal RNA, 403 nt
Filed under: uncultured bacterium
Lineage: Bacteria
Description: partial 16S ribosomal RNA
Rfam family: Bacterial small subunit ribosomal RNA
Source: RNAcentral